Molecule: ribosomal RNA, 211 nt
Filed under: uncultured bacterium
Lineage: Bacteria
Description: partial 16S ribosomal RNA
Rfam family: Bacterial small subunit ribosomal RNA
Source: RNAcentral
UACGUAGGGUCCGAGCGUUAAUCGGAAUUACUGGGCGUAAAGCGUGCGCAGGCGGUUUUGUAAGCCAGAUGUGAAAGCCCCGGCUUACCCGGGAAUGGCAUUGAAUACUGACAGAUCUGGAGGAUUGGAGGGGGACUGGAAUUCGUUGGUGUAGCAGUGAAAUGCGUAGAUAUCAAGAGGAACACCAGUGGCGAAGGCGAGGUCCCUGGAC